RNAcentral lists this ribosomal RNA (253 nucleotides) under uncultured bacterium. RNAcentral's name for it is "partial 16S ribosomal RNA". It matches the Rfam family "Bacterial small subunit ribosomal RNA", at positions 524 to 776 of the family's 1533-position model. The record is from RNAcentral.
UACGUAGGGUGCGAGCGUUAAUCGGAAUUAUUGGGCGUAAAGCGCUCGUAGGCGGAUCGGUAAGUCUGUGAAGAAAGACCCGGGCUCAACUCGGGGAACGGCAUAGAUACUGCUGAUCUUGAGACAGUCAGAGGAUGAUGGAAUUCCAGGUGUAGCGGUGAAAUGCGUAGAGAUCGGGAAGAACACCAGUGGCGAAGGCGGCCGGCUGGGGGCGCCCUGACGCUGAGGCGCGAGAGCGUGGGGAGCAAACCGG